Hemicordylus capensis (graceful crag lizard) is the source of this 4363-nucleotide long non-coding RNA. RefSeq lists it as uncharacterized. The record is from RefSeq and is a predicted model, not a curated record. Lineage: Eukaryota; Metazoa; Chordata; Lepidosauria; Squamata; Cordylidae. The transcript is spliced from 7 exons.
GACUGCUCUCUGCCCACGAAAACCCCGUUAUUAAAAGUAUUAUCUGAGGUUAACGUUGUUGUUAAGCCUCAGAGUAAGCUGUGAAGCCUUAUAUUGUGGCCUUAUGUUAGGGACCUAGCAGAUUGCUACGGUUGCUACCGGGGAGAAAAAUUGUGACAGUUGCUAAGAGGUAUGGCUAUAUGUGUAUCCUGAAAAGGUUACGGUUGGUCUAAUGAGACUGAGAGUAAGUGGGAGUUGGCAGUUGACAUUUGGCAGUUGGAGUGCAGCUGGGAGCUGACAGAAGAAGAGAGCUGAGCGCCAAGGCCAGGGAAAGGAAGAAAAUGCUGGGGUCACAGAGAGGAAACAGAAGAAGGAGAGGAGGAAAAGAGAGCAUCGUCUGAGGCAGCCUUCCAGGGAGCUUACAGGGGGAAAUGCAACCGCUUUGUAUUGCCUGAGCCUGCUUCAAGAAGAUACAGCAAUAUUUUUACAGAAUACUUUAAAGCCAGCCAACCCUCCACCAGAUGAGCCUGGAUGAAAGAGGACCAAAGAAAAUACUUCCGAUUCAGUCAAGCCAUCAGUUGCCUGUGAAGCUAUUUCCACGAUCAGUAGAAAGCAAGCUAAGGGAACCUAGCCCACUUUCUACUGAUCGUUGGAACCACCGGACUCGCAGGCCCACCUAAUUCCCCCUCCCUUUAAAUGGGGUUAAUGGAGUGAGCACUCCAUUGACCUCUGUUUCUUGCUCAUGUGCCAUGGCGGCACAAGGUGACACACGAGUAGACCCCCAACUGGGAGGCAAGCCUCCUGGCCUAGGGGGUAUCUCCAGAAUGCCCUGUGCACUCGUGCAGGUAUCCCGGGCCCGGCAGCUCCUGAUCCCCCCCCCAGCCCCCACCAGCUCCGUGACGGAGCUGGCAGUCAUAUGGGAGACCGAUCUGGCCACCCGGGCUUGGGGGCUGCUCAUUUGCAGGGAAACUCGCUCUCCCUGCAGACUCACCAGAAGCUCUUCUCACUGAUCGAGAAGAGCUUCCGAGGCUUUGUAAGCCAGAAGAACAUCCAACAACAGCGUUGUUGGCAUCCACAAGGGGAGGAGUUUAAGCACAGGGAAUUUGGCUGAAGGUUUGAAUUAAGGGAGUGACUUAGUCCAGGUCUGCAGCCACUAGCUUUAGGAAACAUGAACCUCACAGCAUAUAAAUUAAGAGAACAUCUGUAAUCUAUAAAUAUAGUUUAUAAUAUAAUUUUAACUUAAAAGGCAUCUUUUGUUUAAAUAAACCUUUAUAUCUUUUUGGUUUAACUUCGUUGGUUUCCUGAUUGGUUCAUUCUCAUGCCUAGUGCCUAUCCCUGUUACUGAAGGAAUAUAGUAAAAAGAAAUUUUGUGAAUUAGGUUAAAAGUAAUUAGUGAAAGCAGAAGAACUUUAUGAUUGAGGUACAAGAAAGAGGUAAUGGAACACAGGUGAGGACAGAAGCUGCCACAUUCCCUUUUUUAAAUGGUGUUGUCCAGUCCUGAAUGUUUUGCUUCUGUUUUUGUUUGUUUUGUUUGUUUGUGCUAGUUUACAGCAGCAAUCAGAUGCAAGUAGGCUAGCUUUCCUUGGGAGAAGUAGGACAGCUUGAGACAUGAUGCUUACAACAUAAAGUCACAAGAAUAAAAGGGUGUUCAAAUCUCAUGCAAAGUCUUUUUGAUGGUUUAUGCAAACCUGCUAUGUGUUGCUCUUUGAACAAAAACCCUAAAAGAGAUGUCUUUCCAGACUUCUUAUAAUUUAAAAGCAGAUGACAGAAAACCUUGAAAGGAUGAGAAGAUUAGAUUUUUUUUACAGCUGGUGUUUGUAUCGGCCCUUAGUUUAGUGUUCUCUCUCUCUCUUUUUAGCAUAACAUUUUAGUCAGUUCUUAUUUCAUGUAAUCCAUCUAAGUGGAAGCAGUGCAUCCACUUUCAACUAAAAAAUAAUGAGAUUCUAUCCUGUCCUCCCAUCACGGUUUUCGAAGGACUUUUUCUCUCCUGUAAACACAGAAUGUUUAUGCAAAUAGACUGCAGCGACUGUUUUAAGGUAAUCAUGUAGCAUCUUUUUUCAGGGUACUUUCACACAAUCAAAGCCAGAUCUUCACACCACAAACCAAAUAUGGGGCCGAGUUUCUGCAUGGUAUGCACUGUUUUCUAAGUCUUGGAAGCAACUUGAGUCCUGGGGCCUCCAUCGCUACUUUUGCAAGAAGGAAGCAAUGCCAGGUCCCUCCCAGUACUAUGAGGCAAAGCAAGAGAGGGGGAAUGAAGUAGAUCAUGAGUGGGAAUUUAUCAAGGUGGAGCACCAAGAGCAGCUUGACAGGUCCCAUGAUCUCUUUUUCACACCUACACAACCCUAUGGAAUCUGCCCACAUGAUCAGAUGGCUACUUUCAUCACUCUAGUCACUGGAUGAAUAUGCAGUGCUAAUUCCUGUCUUGACAUUGGUGACCUAAUUUCUCGUUCCCUCCUGAAAAAGCUCCUUGAUGAAAGAGCUAUGAUGAAAGAGUAGAACUAAAGCAGUACAACAGAGCAGAAACGAGAAGAUGGGAAUGAGAAUGAGAAGAAAAAAGAUCCGCACAGCAGACUUCACAAACACAGUUGGAUGCAAGGAUCUCCACGUGAUCAUCUGCUAUACCAAAGUUAAGUGCUGAGUAGAAGGCCUCUCAUGAUAUAGUGAAAUUUAAGGAAGUUCUAGAAAAUGGAGAAAUAGGCUGCCUUCAGAUGUAGCAUGAAAUCUCGGGCAGAUGAACCUUUGGUUAAUCUGUCAGCCCAGGAAUAAUCCUGUAGAUGAUAGUUGAGCCAUAGUCUCACAGCCUCUGGCUUGUGGCAGAGGGGGCCCUCCGUCUUCCUGGUCUGCCAAGGCUGCAUCCCAGAAAGCUCUGUAGCACUCGUUUCACCAGACUGCAAACAAGGCAUCAGGACAUCAGUAAAGCAGCAACCAUUGGCCAUGAUCUUCAAGGGGGCAUGCCCAGUACGACCAUGCCUUUUUGGAUUCAAUCGGCCACCCUUGUCAGGGAAAGGGCAUUCAAACCCAUUCCUCACACCUCUGCUCCUGCUAGGACCCUGCAGCCAUACAGUCUUGCACAAGCACAACUACUGGUAUCGAGGGAUGCAGAGGGGCACUAGUAUUCUGUUAUUAAUGGAAGGGGUCAUGAUGACUUCCUAGGAAGGAACAAGUAUAUGAGGCAGGCGAAGGAUCCUGGGGUUUGGUCCACUGUGACGAAGGAUGCUCUUGGAAUGGUAGGCCUGGGCCAAGCAGUCCAGGAAGACCCAACACACUCCUGCCCCUGUGUUGGAUUGCUGGCCAGAGAUUAGCCCUCUCGUGAGAGGACCAGUCCACUGAGAAGGACCAGAGGCCCCAUGAGCUUCAAGUCUCCAUUGGACUGCACUCUCAUGAGAUAUACUUUCUCCUAUGAUAACUGGUGGCACUAAUGCUGGCCUACUUGCCUAAAGAAGAAAAAUAUUUUCCUCCCUUGAUGUUCUGCACCUCAAAAUUAUUUAGAAGUCUCCGACAAAAUGUUUGGUUAUUUCCCAAUCCUUGUGAGUUACUGAAAAUAUUUCAUCACAUACUGGAAAAAUGGCUUCCUCUAGUGCUUUCACUGGCACAACUUACAUGACAAUGGCUGAGAAUCCAUGAUUAAACAGGAGAAAGUGCUAACUUCAUAAUGAAAUCAACCAUGUGGAUAAUGUGGGCAACUUCCUGCCAUGCAACUUCCUGCCAUGCCCACUGAGUGCACCUGGCUCAUCUCUAACAUCCACAGAUAUCCACAUAUAAUAGGAAAUGUUCCCCAGUUGCUUUACUUCGAUUUCUUCAUUCAAAUGCUCUACAAUUUCAUCACUAUCUUCUCUAUUUUGACAUCAAAUAAUCAACAAAUAUUAGUAUUAAGAAAGGGAUGUUCCUGAUAUUCUGGACCAAAACAAAAUAUUUGAAAUCUGAGGAGAUUCUGUCAUAUCGGAUGAUGGAAAGAAAUGGAACAGUUCGAGACUUUCCAGCAUGCAUACUAUGAGAAAGAAGGAAGAGAGCCUGAGCUCAAGAGAGGAACUGGAGAACUUUGAUCCGGCUUCCAGUUUUGACCUCACAGAGGAGGCUGAUGAAAGUAAUGGGCAAUCCUUGGUACCAGAGGAAAAAUCACAAACAGCUCCUGUGCCAAAGAAGUGUACGUGACAGGAGAUCACUCCAAAGACUUCAAGACUUUGUUACUAAAUUUUAAAUCAAUUCAAUGCUGGUUGUUAUAAAGGGGAGGGAUGUUUUGUAUUCUAUCUAGUAGUCUUUUAUGUUUUGUGAUUGUAGAAGUUUGUCCCAGUGGGGAUCCUGUAGAGUGUGUGUGGGUGCAGCCAGAAAAGAAAAGGGAGGGAAAGGAGAAGAAAAAGGGAGUUGCUUCAGAAUAAAGUCUUAG